Molecule: ribosomal RNA, 523 nt
Filed under: uncultured cyanobacterium
Lineage: Bacteria; Bacillati; Cyanobacteriota
Description: bacterial SSU rRNA
Rfam family: Bacterial small subunit ribosomal RNA
Source: RNAcentral
CUGAACAGCAUGCGCGUGAGGGAGAAGGCUUACUGAGUUGUAAACCUCUUGUGCCUUAAGGAAAAAGAUCUGACGGUACUAUAAGGUGGAAAGCAUCGGCUAACCCCGUGCCAGCAGCCGCGGUAAGACGGGGGAUGCAAGUGUUAUCCGGAAUCACUGGGCGUAAAGCGUCUGCAGGUGGUUUUCUAAGUCGCACUGUUAAACCUUGAGGCUCAACCUCAAAUCUGCAGUGGAAACUAGGGAACUUGAGGAUAGUAGGGGUAGAGGGAAUUUCCAGUGGAGCGGUGAAAUGCGUAGAUAUUGGAAAGAACACCGAUGGCGAAGGCACUCUACUGGGCUAUGACUGACACUCACAGACGAAAGCUAGGGGAGCAAAUGGGAUUAGAUACCCCAGUACUCCUAGCCGUAAACGAUGGAUACUCGAUGUUGGACGUAUCGACCCGUUCAGUAUCUUAGCUAACGCGUUAAGUAUCCCGCCUGGGGAGUACGCUCGCAAGAGUGAAACUAGAGAAUUUUGACGGGA